Non-coding RNA from Callithrix jacchus (white-tufted-ear marmoset), 11928 nucleotides. The record is from RefSeq and is a predicted model, not a curated record. NCBI's taxonomy places the organism in Eukaryota, Metazoa, Chordata, Mammalia, Primates, Cebidae.
UCACUGCAACCUCUGCCUCCUGGUUUCAAGUGAUUCUCCUGCCUCAGCCUCCCUAAGUAGCUGGGACUACAGGUGCAUGCCAUGACACCCAGCUAAUUAUUUAUUUAUUUUUGGUAUUUUUUAGUAGAGGCAAGGUUUCACCAUGUUGUCCAGGCUGGUCUCAAACUCUUCACCUCAGGUGAUCUGCCCAACUUGGCCUCCCAAAGUGUUAGGAUUACAGGUGUGAGCCACGUGAAAUAUUUAAAUAAAACACCCAUGGAGUGUUCCUUAGAAGCUGACCAGGGGAUUCUGGUUCUGUUGGGCCACUAGUGUUGGUUUCACAGAGGUGGCAAGGCUCUGUCACUUUCUUUCUCCAUCUCUCCUGUUCACUCUGCCCUCCGCUUUCUUUUCUUUCUUUUGAGACGGAGUUUCGCUCUUGUUACCCAGGCUGGAGUGCAAUGGCGUGAUCUCGGCUCACUGCAACCUCCGCCUUCUGGGUUCAGGCAAUUCUCCCAUCUCAGCCUCCUGAGUAGCUGGGAUUACAGGCACGUGCCACUGUGCCCAGCUAAUUUUUGUAUUUUUAGUAGAGACAGGGUUUCACCAUGUUGACCAGGAUGGUCUCGAUCUCUUGACCUUGUGAUCCACCUGCCUCGGCCUCCCAAAGUGCUGGGAUUACAGGCUUCAGCCACCGUGCCCAGCCCCUCUGCUUUCUUACUCCAUGUUCUCCACCUUCCUUUGCUCGGUGAAAAAGAAUUAGUUCACUUCAUUCAUUCAACCAUUCCCCCAUUGGCUCAUCUGUUCAUGCCUUCAUUCUGAGUGCUGCAUUUAAGUGCCAUGGACACUGCAGUGAACAAGACGGGUGCUGCCCUCACAGAGGGUGUGGUCUGGGAGGUGAGACAACAGUUAACUGGGCAUUUACAAUGUAGCGUGGUGUGCGCUACCCUGGGGUUGAGCACAAAGGGGCCCUGGCCAGCCUUGGCCAGGUCAGGCAGGGCUUCCAGAAGGCCUGCACUAAGCCGAAGUCUGAGUCCUCAGCACUGGGGAGGCAACGAGGCAGCUAGGCAGAUGCUAGUGUCGUUGGCUCUCUGGAAUCUUUGCAUAUGGGCUGUAUGUUUUCUGUUUGGUAACUUUAAAGUGGUUAUCUGACCAUGAUAGGAAACAAGGUGGCAGAUGUGACAGGUAGAGGAAAUAAUGGCAUGCAGAAGCUGAGAGAUGAUGGUGCCUGAUUUUGAUGUAGUUAAAUCAGCAAAAGUGCAAAUGGUGAUUUGAGUGCGUGCGUGUUUUGUGUCGUGUGCGUGUGUGUGUGAGCUAUUCAUUUCUUGUUUCCUGUAAUUAAUCCAGUUUUCAUAUUCUUGUGAAUUAACAUCACUGAACUGAGACUAGAUUUUCUCCUGAACCAAAAUAAGAUACUGAAUUAAGAGUGUAAGAAUUUAAGGAAACUUUGCUUUCAAAAUCAAGACCAAUAAUAUCUCUUGCCCUUUGAUUUUUCUCUUUCUCUUGAGGAGAGCAUUAUUUUGAUAUAUUUUUUGCCAUUCAAGUAUUUAUAAAGGAUUUCUGGAAGUCGCUUUUUACCUUAAUGAGUUGAAGCAUCAUUUCUGAUCAAACUUGCUUUGCUAUCUCCUUUUCACUCCUUGCAUCUGUUUUCAUACUUAGGGAAUAUAUGAAUGCAGAGAACAGGGAAAAAAAAUCUUAGAAGGAAGUGGACUAGUGCUCCAUGAGUUACAUCAUUUAUGUGUUCCUUCUUUCCAUGAUGUGGAUUUGUUAAAAUUCAAGUGAGGCAAUUUUAACGCAAGAUGUUAUUGGGGACUUUGUUUUCCUGGCUGCUGAAUCAGAAAGAAGCCAUGCAUGACUACUCUGAUUGUUAGUACAGGUGCAAUUAUUCUUAGUCAAAAGUCUUGGUUUUCCUUUAUCUCUAAAAGGGAGAAGAAAAUGGGAAUCUGUCCUCCAGAUAUAUUAUGAAAAACGAUGAAAACAGUUGUUAAAAGUUAGUGAUUAAAAAUCUAAACAAUAAGAUGACUAUAAGUAACAAGAGUUCAUUGUGUAUAUUCAAAUAGCUAGAAGAGAGGACUUCAAAUAUUCCCAACACAAAUUACCCUGAUUUAUUAGCCAUCGUAGACAUGUAUUCAAAUAUCACAAUGUACCCCAUGAAUAUGUACAAUUAUGUGUCAAUUAAAAAUAAUAAAAGAAAAAAGCCCAAGCCAAUCAAUCAGGGGACAAUGCAAACUCUAAAAAAACUUCCCUGGUAAUUGGAAAAAAAUUGUUUUUGAUCUCUAGCACAUAAAAUCUGUGCAUUUCCCUUAUGUAAAUUAUACUUCAAUAAAAAUCAGUUAUAAAAAUACAAACACAAAAAAAGCUUUCAAAAAGACCCACUCCUCUUUCUGGUGUAUAGAAGAGUUUAAUUGUAAUUCAUCCUGAAAUUUUAAGGGAAUUGUUAAACAAAUGAAUUAGCUGCCUAACUAAAGCCUGCCCCAAUCCAGUGAUUUUUGAUCAUAUCACUGUUUUAUUUUCCUGAUAGCAUUUAUCAUUAUCAAAUUAUCUUGCUUAUUUGUUUCUUUAUUAUCUUUCUCCCCUAGUAUGUUGGCUUCUUGAGAUCAGAGACUUCAUCUUGGUCAUGUCUAACUCUUCCUCUUCCAGCAUGAAGCUUGGCACAUGGCAGUGCUUUCAUAAGCAUAUGCCAAAUAAAUGAAUGAAUGAAUAUUUCUAUCAGCACUUCCUUAGGCUUUUUUACACACACACACACACACACACACACACACACACACACACAUAUUUGCUAUUAUACAAUCAAGAUUGCUUAAGUAAUUCAGGUUCAGGGACUGAAAAAAAAUUGAAUUGUCAUAGGCUUAAGGAUCAGGAGCCCAGAGCCCAGUGACAUUUGUGUAUUAAUUUUGGUUAGACGUUGGAUUGCACUUACUGUCAAUUUGUCAUGUGAAAAUGCAACGUUAGUUUUUAUGACAUACUAAUAGCUCCGGAGAGUUGUAAUUAAAUAGAAGCAAUUUUUGUGAGAUAUCAGUAUUAGGUCUGGAAAUAACAGAUGAAUGGAUAAAGAAAACAGAAGAGAGUACACUGGGAGUCUGACGCAACAUAGGCUAUUACAUUUAUGGAAAUGGAAGUAAGUGACAUUUGAGGGAUUAAAAAGAUCUUUCACAAGUAUUUUUUUUAAAUCCACACAAGUGGAUUUGGCUUACUGGAACCCUGAUCACAUUAUAGAAUAAUACUUUAACUCCAUCAUAGGGGAAGGGCAAGUUUUUUCAUCAUGCAUACUUAGUGGAACUGAAAGCUGUUUUAGCAACGUGCUCUUAUGUGGUAUUAGGCCACUUUCUUUGGAAAAAUUCAAAGUGCUUUUCAACAAAAUUUCAGAAUUACUCCUCACAUUCCAAGGAGAAGAUGGUGACAUUGUAUAAUUCAAAAAAUGAGAAACCAAGACCCAGGAGAGCCUGUCUCAAAAUCAGGAUGGGGUUCCAGAGAAUCUGCUAGAAUAUAAUAUGAGCCUUAUAAUUCUCAGCUGUCUCCCCAGAUUUUCUCAGUUGUUUGAUCCAGUUGCUUUCCAAGUGGCAAAGAACCUAUUUGAUCAACAUGCCUUUUUCAUUCAUCAAGGUAAAUUCUAAAUUUUGCUUCAUGUGCGCUGAAUGGAAUCAAACAAGAAACACUUGAGAAGCCUAAAAUCAUAAUUGAGAAUCGGAUCUUCCCAUCACUGAGGGAAAUGACUGUGAUGAACACCUAACAGUAUGGCAGUCAGAGAAUGAGAUGGAAUGAAUGGAGGCACUGAAGCAACAGAGAUGACACAAAGCAGGUCAAGACCUGAGAACAUGCUGUUCAAGUGGUGGCUGCAGCUUGUUCUCCCUCAGCCUGGGCUCCCUGGGGCAACGCAGACCCAAGAGUUUCACUCUUAUUGCCCAUGCUGGAGUGCAAUGGUACUGCAACCUCCGCCUCCCAGUUUCAACUGAUUCUCCUGCCACAGCCUUCCAAGUAGUUGGGACUACAGGCGCAUGCCACCACACCCGGCUAAUUUUUUGAAUUUUUAGUAUAGACAGGGUUUCACCGUGUUAGCCAGGAUGGUCUCGAUCUCCUGAUCUUGUGAUCCACCUGCCUUGGCCUCCCAAAUGGCUGGGAUUACAGGUGUGAACCACUGUACCCGGCUAUUGUGGGUUUUUAUCUGAAUUAUCAAAUUACUUUUCAGAAAUGUACCAAUUUUACUCACAUCAGCAGAGGGAGAGUAAGUAUUUCAUUGUUCUUUCUCCUCAUCUCAGGCGUUCACAUACCUAAAUAUGUUUGCCCCAAAGCACCUCCACUGGUGCCGCAUUGCUUCUGUUCAAAAUUCUUUGAUUAUUAAUGAGGAAGAAUUCUUUUCUUGUUUCUUGGCUUUUGAAACAGCUGACGUCUGAGAAUGAAUAUGUCCUUUACACAUUUUACUCUUUUUAUUGAUUUAUGUAACCUCCUUCAGAGUGGCAGUUUCAAUCUUUUAUCUGCCAUGUCUGCUACAAAUGUUUCCCCUCAUUUGCUUACUUUUUAACUGUGUUCUUUUUUAUUUGAAACUCAGAGAUUCUAAUAUUUUUUCUUUGUGAUUUCUUUUAUUUUGCCUAUGUUUAAAGUCCAUCUCCACUCCCAAAAUCAAAUUCAUCUGAUUUAUUUUGACAACAUAAAUAAAUCCUGUCAAUUCACCGGAGCACAAGAGAUAUUUGAAGUAAUAAACUCAUUUUAAUUUUGAAUUGUAUUUUUUGUUUACGCUAUUUUAAAAAGAAAGAAAGGAGAAGACAAGAAAAGAGGGCAGAUUGAAAAGGCAAACAUCAGUACUGCCAGGAUCUAAGAGUGUUUGGGGGAUCCAAGGCUCUGUGUAGAAGCAGAAGCCAGCAGUGACUUACCUCUGCCCUGGCAGUUACUUCUGGGUUUCAGGUUAGCAUUCUGACCAGUCUGGAAAAUAGCUAGAGGCCUGGAUUUGCUGUCAACAGCCGCAGUGCAAGUUAUAACUGAAACGGGAACCUCUCCUAUCUCACCUGACCAUCACAGGGGUUAAGUGCCUGGGAAUCCAGUGAUGAAAUGAAGAGGGAUUUUUGAAAGAAAUCACAAAGAAGUAAGUGGGGGAAAGACUGGGAAGCCUGGACUCCUGACUUUUCCUUCUCCUCCACUCCUUCCCUUCCCUACUCGACAUCCUGCCCCCAGGACCUGGAUAUUGAUUUACAAGGAGUGGAGAAAGGACAUUUUUUAAAAUUUCUACUCAACCAAGUUUUUGUCUAAAUCGAACCACACUGCCGUUUUUCUCUUUCCAUCCUUGAAACUCAGAUUUGUGCAAAAAGGGGUAGGUAGAAUAUAGUAAAGACCAAACCAGAUAAAACAGGUUUUAGUCUGGUGGAGUCUUCUCAUUUCAGGUUUGUGUCUGGAAUUAGAGCUUUAAAAAUUGCCCCAAAAGAACAGUAGUUGUCUCUAUUAUGAUUAAUCAAACUCUCAGACCGAGAGUCCAAAGGCUACUCCUAUUGGCUCACCGGGGAACAAUGAAGUUAUUAUGUGAUAAACAUAUUCAAUGAACGAUGAAAAUGAUUUUUCAUACAUUGGCUAUGGCAGCAUAAUUUGGACAAAAGAGUGCUAGAUAAGCAGCCAGAAAGUUCUAGAAUCAAUUAUACCCACUAUGUGACCUCUUGAAAACCAAUUUGCCUCUUUGAGGCUUAGUUUCCUAAUCCAUAUAACUAUCUACACACAGAAUAGAGAUCUGCAAAGAAGCAGGGAGGGCUGGGGGAGAUACACAGGGUGCUAAUUAGAGGAAUGAAAAUGAUUUCUUCAUGUCACUUUUCGUGUUCUGAAAUGCCCAAGGUUUCGUCAUUGCCCUUACAGUAAAAUAAAAUUGUCUUCCAAAAUUUGUAGCAAUCCAGCUCAAUCUUAUCUUGCCUCCUACAAGCGAUAAAAAAAGGCCAGGGCAGGUUAGAUUUGAGUAUGCAUCCUGGUCUUGCUAUUUACUGUGCCACCACGGGCUCAUUAUUGAACUUUUCAGAGCCUUUAUUUCCAGCUAUACGAAUAGGGAUGACAAUGCGUCUUUCCUGCAGAUCUGCCGCAAGGGCUGUUUCUGCUUAUGAUCUGCCUUGCUGUUAUCUGCAAACUCCACUGCUCUAGCUCAAAUCCCACAUGAAACCUUUUUCCUGAGGUCUUUACUGACCUCCCAUAUAGCCCCUAUGUGUGCCAAAAAUUUUUGUAGAUCAAAAUAAUUUAAACUGAGAGUUACCUGAAUCUUUCUAGUGUGGCCUGCCUUGAUAACAGGGAACUACUGCUUUCUCGACUCUUCCAACACCCUUGUUUUUUUUUGCAUUAUACACACUUUCUACUUAUCUCUAUUGUUGCAAUUGCAGUAUUGCCUGAGCGUUAUCCGUGACAGUCAUCACAUGGGUCAUCUCUUGAUUAUUGAACCAGAAUUGUAAUCAUGUUGUAGUUGAGAAAAGAAAGAAGAUCUGAUAAAGACUGAUUUUAAAAAUACAAUAGUAAUUUAAAAAUAGCAACAAAACUAAAUCAGGGCAGAAGACCCGGGCAAGAUAAGAACUUACUGAUCAACAGACAGUGUAGAUGUACACUGGUAAAUGUACCAGGUAAAUACACCAACCAUGAGUUUCUUCUGGGUCAUACUGCUCUAAAGCAAUGAAGGAAAAUGAGCAAGUAGGGGAAGAGAAAUCAGAUUCGGAAAGACCUUGUGAUUUCUUGAGUAAAUUGUUAUGGAUACGGCGCCCCCUAGUGCACCGAACAACACAGGUGCCCCAGUGUGCAGGAGCUGAGAGCUCCGGAGCUGAGCAAUCUCAUCAUCCCCGUCCCCAACCUUACUUGAAACACCUGCGAUUUCUGUUUCACCAUUGCUUUCCUUUCCACUGCACAAGCAACUGUAGGCCAGGGAAGAAAGGCAGACAGAUGUCCUUUAUUUAGUUGGAUAUAAGCGCUGAUUCUCAUGGAAGUCGUGAAUUAAUUCGAGGUACUCAAAUAAUAUUAAAAAGUAUAAAAAAAAGUUACUGUGAAAAGAGUUUCUACUUUUUCCUGAGAUAGAGGAAUGUAAUUAGGAGAAUAAGCAAAACUGAAAGAUGAUUCCUUGUUAUUUUCUAAAAAUGUUAUUUGUCCCCAUCUUCUUUUUAUCAAAAUGUUCAUCAUCUGAUGCAAACAUAUUUUCUUCAAGCAGGAUACAUGGACCAAAACUGAACCAAAGCAGAAGGAAAGCAGCUUUUUAAAUGAGAAAAAAUGGAAUGUAAUGAUUUGCAUUAAAGCAUUCUUUCUCAAAGUGUAAUCUCCGGAACACUAGUUCCACAGGAUAUUAAUGGAUCUUAUGCAAAUAAGGGUUUCAUGGCAAAUCGUUUUGAGAAAUUUGGAAUUCAACAAAGAUAAACUAAUGUUUUAACAUUCUUCAGAAGGCAUGCAUCCUCAGUAUGCUCUGAAUAUCCCACCAUACUGUGUAAAACAGCACUAUGAACUGCAGCACUUCCAAAAUCAUUUAACACAAUAGUUUCCUUUUCAUGCCUAUCUCACACACUUGGUUGAUGAAUUAUCCUUUGGGAAUAUGCAUUGGACCAGAAUUUCAUCAGUUUCCAACACAUAGGAAAGUGUGCCGAAAGGAGAAGAAAAUAGUAAAUUUGAUACAUGCAAAACUUAAGGUGACUAUAAGCAAGUUUGUGGUCAGUGUCAUAACUCUCUUCUGCAUUUGAAAGAUCAGUAAUACAAUACAUUAAGUUUCAACAUGGCAGUCCUAUGGGAGUAAGAAGAAUCAACCAUGCUGAAAACAUCACCAGCCCGCAAGAUUAUUGCCAGAUUUCUCUCACGUCACAGCAGUGCUCUACUUCUGAGAAUGAGAAAUGACCCUCCAAGAAGUUUAGUACCUCCGUCCUGCCAGGUUUCCAUCUUUUACUAAGACUUUUCUUUGUGCACAACCUGUACUAAUACUCAUGGAUGUUUUAGGCUCCUUAUUACUAUUAGUCAUGGGAUCACAGAUACACACGGUUCUUUAAAGAAGUUAGAGGAAGUCUGUAUUUCGUACAAGCUGUGAAUUAGAGAUGAAUCUGGUAACUCACAGCUAGACAAACUCAUCCCAAAGAAUGAUUGAGAAAAAUGGAACUCCACAGAGUGGUUCAUCUUGAAUGAUGGCACAGUAAACAUAACAGUGGAAACCAGGCCAGGAGGAAGGGACCGAUGGUUCUUCAGGACAGGUCCUUGCUGCAUUUGCUGUAUCUCAUGUCAGGAGGAUGUGCUUGCUCCUGGCAGCUCAGUUCACAUUCAGAAGUGCUACUGUCCAUGGACUUAUAGUAUGUUAGGCAACACCACUUGCAGACAUGAAGGAGUGGGGACUUCAGGUGACCUGGAAUGGUUAUAUGUAAUGCUGUGGCCUCUGGCUGGGGAUGUAGUGUUUUGGGGCCAGAACAAAUCUUUCAUCAGCUUAGGAAAGGUUGUGGCUCUCAGUCUUUUAGCAUUUAGGGGCCAAGGGUGGGAUAUGGUUCAUCCCAGAAGCAGCUCUUGGUUUUCAGUAGAUGUUCUAUUUUCUCUCUAAUGUUUUCCAGCUGAGUUGAUUUCAGACAGAUGGAGGUCAAAUGAUUUAUUCUGACGCCCAGUGAAACAGAGCAUCUGGGACUUGAACUUGGGGACUUGACGGGUGGGCAGCUUGCACCCUAGUCAGUCAACUGCUCUCCUCCCAGGUUUUCAGCGCCUCUCUGGUUGCACCUUGAAGGCAGCCUGCUGAGUCUGGCAGGGCCCGUCCCCUGGGGCGUCACCGCUGGAAUAAGAGACCCGAAGAGGCCUGUGACAGGUCAAGUCUGAAUGCUCUGGCAGAGCGGUGCAGGGCAGACUGCUCCACGCCUGCUCAAAGCACACAGCGUCUGGUGAAAGCCAGAUUGAAGAUAGCUAAAUGCUCAUGCCAAGAUUCCAAAAGGAAAAACUUAGCUCACAAUUUUCCUUUGCAUGGUGAUUUUUCAUCCUUUCCUUUUUCUUUCUGUAAAAAGGGAAUCCCCGUGUUUACAAGUUGAAAUCCAAAAUGCACAAGUGGUCAGUCCACAAUUCUGUGACCCAUGAACAUCUGUGGGCCUGGGUGUUCCUUGGGAAUCUGCAGUGUUCAGAGCAGCGAGCCAAGCCUGCCCUAGCAGAAGGGAAUUCUCCAGUGAGUCGAACAGGCCUGCAAGUGCCUGGGGUCUGGUCUCCUCUGGUUCUGCUUUCCUGGGACAUGCCUGUGCUUGACUUCCACUAGUUUUAUGAACUGCAUUUUGACUAUAUUUUUGGAGGUGGGUUCAUCACUCCUUACAGGAAGUAGGACAUGGAUCUUCAUUUUUCCUUUAAGAGAAAUAAAACUCUGUAAUCUGAGAUGGGCAAGCAUGCCCCAAGUCUGUUUACCAAGGAACAAGAACCUCUCUGUGUCCUUUAAGCAGACAGAAAAAUCAAGAAUAAAAUAUUUAUUUGGCAUUUGUCUCUGAGGACUUAAGUGACUGAAAACCAAUAGGGCCUCCCCUCCUUCUGUGGAAAGGUGAGUCCCAUAGUCCUGUGUCCCCCAGGAGAGCCCCACAGAGAGGCUGCUCCUCCGUGGCAGGUGGUAGUGGGUGUGGCUGAAAGUGCCUCAUCACUUUCAUUCUGGAUCCUAGGUGGGUAGAUGGGCUUUGGUUGUACCAUCUUUUUAAAUUUUUAAUUUGGUAGAUGCUCAAAAGUUAAGGGAACCCUCAAAGGGCAAAGUUAGCAUGUGACAUAUUUGUGUCUCCUCUCUGGACCUUGGUUUCCUUAUCUGUAAAAUAAGGGAAUGGACCAGAUCACUGUUCCAGAGCCCAGUGCAACUCCAGGAGUCUGUACUUUGAGGCUUGCUUCUCUCCUAGUAGGAGUUCAGCUCCUCUGCCCUAACUUUUCUGCUGUAAUCUGGGUGUUAUGAGCUGAUUGUGUGCUCCACCUCAAAAAUCCAAUUACUAAGGUCUUAACCAAGUAUCUCAGAAUGUAACCACUUUUGGACAUAGGGUCUGUAUUAGUCUGUUUUCACACUGCUAAUAAAGACAUACCCAAGACUGGGUAAUUUAUAAAGGAAGGAGGUUUAAUUGACUCACUGUUCAGCAUGGCUGGAGAGGCCUCAGGAAACUUACAAUCAUGGCAGAAGGGGAAGCAAACAUGUCCUUCGUCACACAGAAGCAUCAAGGAGAAGUGCCAAACAAAAUGAGGAAAAGCCCUCAUAAAACCAUUGGAUCUCGUGAGAACUCACUAUCACAAGAACAGCAUGGGGGUAACUACCUCCCACUGGGUCCCUUUCACAACACGUGGGGAUUAUGGGAACUAUAACUCAAGAUGAGAUUUGGGUGGGGACACAGCAUAACCAUAUCAGGGUCUCAAAUGAGGUCAUUAAAUUAAAAUGAGGUCAUUUAAUGAGGCCUAAUCCAAUAUGAUUGCUGUCCUUAGAAGAGAUCAAGACACAGACAGGAAUGGGGGAGACCAUGGGAGGUCGCAGGUAGAAGGUAACCUCUGCAAACCCAAUAGAAUGGCCUCAGGAGGAACCUACCCUGCCAGCACUUCGAUCUUGGACUUCCAGCCUCCAGAACUGUGGGACAAUAAAUAUCUGUUGUUUAAGACAACCAGUCUAUAGUACUUUUUACGGCAGGCCUAGCAGACUAAUGCCACAUGAUACCACAGUGAAUGUGCUAGGCUGUGAAAGAAGUUCUGUGCGUUUUUCUUAACAGAUUCAGAUUUUUGGUUUUAGCUUAAAAUAGGUUUUUCUGUCGCAAGAUAUUUAAAACAUGAUGUUUGUUUAUUUUUUUACAAGUUUCUUUAUCAUUAGAUGUGAAAUAAGCCAUUUUAGCAAAAUAAUUCCUUUUUAUCUUUACUUGAAGGGGAUUUCACAAUUUUGACUCACAGGGCUAUUUUUUUAAAACAGCUAUGGAUUGUCAUCCUGCCUUUUAAGAAAUACUGUCAUUGUCUAUAAAAUUCAUUUAAGGCCAAAUAGCUCAUUAGAUAAACUCGCAGAUGAUGGCACAUGUAUAAAGAACUUCAGACCACAUAAGCAACCGCAGAUGCGGCAUGGUCCAGUUUCUGUUUAGUACUUUUGGCUCUAAAGUUCAUUCAGAGUGAAACAUCAUUUGAUUUGAGUUAUAGAAGGGCAAAUAAGAUGACGAAGGAAGGUUACCACUUAUCACUGUUGAAGAUUCUCAUAUUCUUACUUGAAAUAAAACAUGCUGUGACCAAAGUGGAUUUUUCCUUCCUUCAGUAUCAACAUUCUGUUUCUUUUACAAAACAGUCACAUAUAAUUGGAAUGUAGCAUCAGAUAUGUAAGAAGCAUAGAAUUUCUUUCUCUUUGUAAGUUCCAUUUGACUGCAGCAGUGAAAUUUCCCGAGAAGGGUGUUUUGAGAUCAAGACUGCUCACUUGAGAGGUUAGAGUGGCCCAGGUUAUGAGGCUCUACAAGUCUGAGAAACAGAUCAUCUUAGACACUGAGAGCUGAGGCACAUCCUACUUUUUCUACUUACCGUGAACAUGCCCCUUAGAUGCUGAAUGACAGACAAUGAUAAUUCAGAUGUAGCACCCUGACACCAAACCAACUGUGGAAAUACCAGUAAAAUCAGUUGUUUAGUUUUUAAAAUACACAACAUAAAUAAAUGACUAGUUCGUAUUUUAGCCCCCUUUUUGCUGUGACAUAAUUACAAGAAUGAAAAUUUAUUUUUUAAAAUACAUUUUUUCAAAAUCCCAUCUUGAGGAAAAAAAGCUUGGCCAAUUAAGAAGGCUGAAGGGAGGAACUGCAGGCACUUUUAUUUCCGGCUAUCAACAGAAUGGAAAAAAUGUCAACUUAUUUACAUUUAUUUAUUUAUAUAGGUGAUGAAUAAGUUAAGGAACGCUUCAUCUCAAACACAUAUUGCUUUUAUUUUAGCUAAGUUAAUGUUUCAGUUCCAUAUAUAUUUUUGAAUUUCCAUCAAUGCCAAACACCAUUUUUUCUUUCUUCUUAAAAAAAAAAAAAAAGAUUUACAAGCACUUUUACGGCACUCGAGAAA